Molecule: long non-coding RNA, 585 nt
Filed under: Homo sapiens (human)
Lineage: Eukaryota; Metazoa; Chordata; Mammalia; Primates; Hominidae
Description: non-protein coding lnc-CIB1-5:2
Source: RNAcentral
ACUGCCCUAUCCGCAACUCUAACCGAAAGGCUGCCGGUGUCUGCUGCCUGAAAUCAAAAUAGUGGGUCAUCUCCCUUCUCUUGCCGGCCCAGCUAACCUCUGCACCAAUAUUUGGAGAAGACACCCUUUGAGGUGACCCAGGUUGUCUUGUUGGACACAAGCAGGCCCCAAACUGCCAUGAAAGCCCUCCAACCCCACUCUCCGCAGUUUGGCAACCUGGCCUCAGUCCUCUUAGAUUCGGCAGCAGUCACCAGAUUACCCAGGUACCCAGGUAUUUGAGAUGCGGAUGCUAAAGCCGAACUCUGUCCAAAUUCCCUACCUUUGGAUCCCUUGACAUUGUUCUUUGCAAGUUCUUUUUAAAAUAACUCUUUUCCCGUAUCAGGGAUGCCUCUGCCCCCUGCACCUUGUGGCUUGCCCUUCAGAUAUUGGUAUUCAACGGUAUUCUGUCCGCAGCCCUCUUCUGUUUAUUCUUUUUUCUUUUCUUUCUUUCUUUUUUUUUAUUUUCUUUUUUUUUUGAGACGGAGUCUCGCUCUGUCGCCCAGGCUGGAGUGCAGUGGCGCGAUCCGGGCUCACUGCAAGCUCCGC